GGAGGAAAGUAGGGGAUCGCAAGACCUUGCGCUAAAGGAGCGGCCGAUGUCUGAUUAGCUAGUUGGUGGGGUAAAGGCUUACCAAGGCAACGAUCAGUAGUUGGUCUGAGAGGACGACCAACCACACUGGGACUGAGACACGGCCCAGACUCCUACGGGAGGCAGCAGUGGGGAAUUUUGGACAAUGGGCGAAAGCCUGAUCCAGCCAUGCCGCGUGAGUGAAGAAGGCCUUCGGGUUGUAAAGCUCUUUUAGUCGGAAAGAAAGAGUUGCAAUGAAUAAUUGUGAUUUAUGACGGUACCGACAGAAAAAGCACCGGCUAACUACGUGCCAGCAGCCGCGGUAAUACGUAGGGUGCGAGCGUUAAUCGGAAUUACUGGGCGUAAAGGGUGCGCAGGCGGUCUUGCAAGUCAGAUGUGAAAGCCCCGGGCUUAACCUGGGAAUUGCGUUUGAAACUACAAGGCUAG
This 465-nucleotide ribosomal RNA is filed under the name uncultured ammonia-oxidizing bacterium. Its description in RNAcentral is "bacterial SSU rRNA". It matches the Rfam family "Bacterial small subunit ribosomal RNA", at positions 198 to 644 of the family's 1533-position model. The record is from RNAcentral.